ACAGGUAAAGGGACAAAUUACAAAGCUCUAAUCCACAUUACACCGUGUUUCAUUUUUAUAAACAGGAAGAAAAAAAAUUCAAACAAGGAAACAAUCAUUUUCGAAAUGCACCAAUGUGCUAAUCCUCAAAAAUACUGCACCCAAUCAAUAUAAGAUCAACCAAGAAUUCCCUAACAGUACCAUUGGAAACUUUUAGUAACUUCAGAAAUCUCAACAAGUACAAUAGAUGGACUUGACAACCACUGUUUUUUUCAACUCUAAUUGACUGAUAUUUCUCUUCCAACAAUGCUAUGUUGGAUAUCAACAAAAACAAGAUGAAAAUAAGAAGACAAUUGACAUUCAUAAUCCAACACCCUCCAUCGAGAAGUUUAUAGGGCACAUAGAUGGUUUAUUUUAGACUUCAAACGCCAUAAGCACAGACGUACUGUUUUACCAGAUAAAUAGAUCGAUUAGGAAUAAUACAAUUUUCAAUUAUUUGAUACCAAACAGUGUUUCUUUCUUUAGGCAAUGGUCAAACCUAAUAAGGAAAACAAAGGUCACAGUCAUCAAGUGUACAAUGUUUAGUAUCUUCUCCUCAUAAGUGAUGAAAUAGCUCCAAAGGUUGCAGCCAAGUUGACAAUUCGUUUCAGUUAACUCAAAUGGAACGACAAAAAACACGAAAGACCUAAUUAUACCACAAAUAGUACCCCAUACUCAUAGUAUCUUUUUAUUUCCCUUCUUUUUUUUGAUUGAAGAAAGCUGCAAACAUAACUCAUGAAGGAC
Rhododendron vialii is the source of this 762-nucleotide long non-coding RNA. RefSeq lists it as uncharacterized. The record is from RefSeq and is a predicted model, not a curated record. The transcript has 2 exons. Lineage: Eukaryota; Viridiplantae; Streptophyta; Magnoliopsida; Ericales; Ericaceae.